UCACACUUCCAAUCAAACAUUUCACCUCACCUUCUCUCAACCAUCCUCUGCAACUACCCUUCCCCCCUCUGUUACAUUUACAUUCCCUCUUCCUAACACUCUCCCACACACUCAUCCAAAUGGUAGUUUCGGGUUUUGAAGGCUUCGAGAAAAGAUUNGAGCUUCAUUACCAGACAUUGUAUUUAUGGACUAUACAGUUUAAGUUUUACAGGACAACCAUCCUAGUUCUAUCAACUAAAACAUUAUAUAACGAAUACAAUGAUGCACUUAGGUUCCUUCAACUAGUAACAAUCACGCAAAACAUAAUCAUCAAACCCAAAUAUUUACGCAACCCAUAUGCUAAAAUAAAAUAACUAUAACUAUAACUAUAACACAACCAAGACACUAUAACUCAUAGCUGCAAAAUUUAAAAACUCACCAGAGGAGUGUCAUUCUCCCUCGGGGUUUGCCCGAGCAACGAAGCUUGUGAGAGCUGGGUUCCUAAACUCACUGCACAAACAUAGAUCCUACAACCCAGUACAUCAAUGGCGCGAUCAACACCUGAUAAAAGCGUGUUUUCAUGAAAAUAGGGCAAAGAAGAACGAAACAGAGAAGAGAAUGAGGGAUAGGGAACGUGAUUCCUGAAUAUAGCAGCCCUAAGGUAAUGAUGGAAAACCAACUCCGAGAAGUGGCCUGAAGGCGUGAUUUGAACUGUAAUGAGGCUCCUCCAGUGAAGAAACGCAGCAGUAUGAUGUAAAUUGGGAAGAGAACUCGAGACCGAGAGCCGAAUCAGUGGAGAAUGAAAACAAACCCUGAGAAUCCAAGAAUACUCCAGAAACGGAGAGGAUACGAUGCGAAGAACCCUAAAACCCUAGGUUGACGAAGGAAACCCAAAAUGGAUCGAUUAAUCAGUGUAAAUGCAAGAUUGGUCGGUGUAAAUGAUGCUAAUUGAAGAAUCAAUCGGUGGAAAGACUUUUAAUCGAUAUAAAAUAGGAUUUAAUCGGUUGAAAAUGAAGAAAAUGGUGAAAAGAGGUUGGAACCCUAACUAGAGAUGUAGAUCGACUAAUGAAUCGGUAGAACAAAUGUUCUAUGGUUGCAAAGGCUAUGGAAAAGCUAAAUAUGAAAGAAGAAGAAGAUUGUGUGAAAAAAAAAUGGAUUACGAAUGAGGAGUUCUCGAGUGGAAAGAGGAAACUCGAGGAAGACGAAAUGUGAAAAAUGAGAGCAAACCUGAAAGGAAGAUAGCGUUCAAGACGAAGGAGAAAGGCCAAAGAAAAAGCGCGAAGGAGGGUUCAAGAAGUUCACGUGAAAUUGAAGGAGAAGCAUGAAGAGGAGUAAAGAUGGGGAAGAAGCUUAGAGAAGAGAGAAAAGUGAAGAAGAUUAAGGAAAAAAGGCUUCUGAAUAAUCAAUUGAAACUUUAAUUUGUUUUAAAUA
This 1410-nucleotide long non-coding RNA is filed under the name Vigna radiata. RNAcentral describes it as "long non-coding RNA (VRAD_LNC006073)". The record is from RNAcentral. Lineage: Eukaryota; Viridiplantae; Streptophyta; Magnoliopsida; Fabales; Fabaceae.